UCGCUGGUUUUCUUCCCCGUUUUCGUGGCCUCUUUUCAGGUUCCACAACUUUGCUGCUAUCUGUUUGUCUAACAACAGAGGCUUCGAGAUCAGACUGAUCUGAAUCUCCCGUACCACCACUUGAUUUCACCACACCAGAAGAAGGCAAGACAACACCAGAAGUAAAAGAAAGCAUCCCUUCUUCGUUGCUACCCCUUGAGGUUGGGGAUCUUUUCUUCUUGUUGUUCUCCUCCACUGCAACCUGCGAAUGACCUGAAAAGAAAUUUCCAU
Molecule: unclassified non-coding RNA, 270 nt
Filed under: Hevea brasiliensis (rubber tree)
Lineage: Eukaryota; Viridiplantae; Streptophyta; Magnoliopsida; Malpighiales; Euphorbiaceae
Source: RNAcentral